AGCUUUGCGCAGUGGCAGUAUCGUAGCCAAUGAGGUUUAUCCGAGGCGCGAUUAUUGCUAAUUGAAAAAGUGAUUGUUAUAAAAAUAAUUUUGCAGUAAAUUGAAAGUUUUUUUCAUUUCCCACAGAGA
RNAcentral lists this small nuclear RNA (129 nucleotides) under Neogale vison (American mink). RNAcentral's name for it is "Neovison vison (American mink) U4 spliceosomal RNA (ENSNVIG00000008997.1)". It matches the Rfam family "U4 spliceosomal RNA". Rfam says of the family: U4 small nuclear RNA (U4 snRNA) is a component of the major U2-dependent spliceosome. Lineage: Eukaryota; Metazoa; Chordata; Mammalia; Carnivora; Mustelidae. The record is from Rfam by way of RNAcentral.